CCUGUCCCUGUGCUGGGUCCGAGCUGGCGGCCGGGCUGGGCGGAGCAGCAGCUGCAGCCCCGGGUGUCCCUGGAGCGCUGGGAGCUGCCGCUGGCCCCAGGCGCUGUCCCCUGAGGAGCUGCUGAAGGACGCUGCCAAGGAGAGCUCGAGGACAGGCGGAGUUUGACAGGAGCCAGCAGGGAGAAGCUGAAGGCCACCAGAGAGAGCAGUGAACAGGGAGCUGCUGCUGCCAGCCCAGAGCCUGGAUGUCCCAUCUGCUGUCCCUGUCCAGGAGAGCUGCUCUGCACGGGAGGGAACAAGGACCAAAUGAAAGGCUUUGAAGACUGGGCAGCUGGAAUCCUUCUGCUUAGAAUUCUGUUUAAAGAUACAUGGACUUAUGAGAUUUAUUGCUGUAUAUUUGUAUUGAUGAAGAUGG
Hirundo rustica (Barn swallow) is the source of this 415-nucleotide long non-coding RNA. RefSeq lists it as uncharacterized. The record is from RefSeq and is a predicted model, not a curated record. The transcript has 3 exons. NCBI's taxonomy places the organism in Eukaryota, Metazoa, Chordata, Aves, Passeriformes, Hirundinidae.